GGGUCGUUAGCUCAGUUGGUAGAGCAGUUGACUUUUAAUCNNUUCGAACCCUGUACGACCCACCA
Molecule: transfer RNA, 65 nt
Filed under: Serratia grimesii
Lineage: Bacteria; Pseudomonadati; Pseudomonadota; Gammaproteobacteria; Enterobacterales; Yersiniaceae
Description: tRNA-OTHER
Rfam family: tRNA
About the family: Transfer RNA (tRNA) molecules are approximately 80 nucleotides in length. Their secondary structure includes four short double-helical elements and three loops (D, anti-codon, and T loops). Further hydrogen bonds mediate the characteristic L-shaped molecular structure. tRNAs have two regions of fundamental functional importance: the anti-codon, which is responsible for specific mRNA codon recognition, and the 3' end, to which the tRNAs corresponding amino acid is attached (by aminoacyl-tRNA synthetases). tRNAs cope with the degeneracy of the genetic code in two manners: having more than one tRNA (with a specific anti-codon) for a particular amino acid; and 'wobble' base-pairing, i.e. permitting non-standard base-pairing at the 3rd anti-codon position.
Source: RNAcentral